Lolium perenne is the source of this 1428-nucleotide RNA transcript. It is a transcript of the gene named plastoglobule-localized metallopeptidase 48, chloroplastic, with no coding region annotated. Lineage: Eukaryota; Viridiplantae; Streptophyta; Magnoliopsida; Poales; Poaceae. The record is from RefSeq and is a predicted model, not a curated record.
AAAGAGGUGUGAGAUGGUACACGUCUGUUGAACAGCUGACAGCGACAUGGAGGAAGAAGAAGGUGAUGUUGAAGAAGGCAAGCGUACAAAUGACUGCCUCUUUUCUUACCAAUUCCAGUUCCCAGUUCCAUCAUUUUACCGCUAGUUACUGCUACCUCUGUGGUCAUGGCGGCUUGCCUCUCCUCCACGCUCCCUCGCCAGACCAUCCACCGCCGCUUCUGCUUGACCCCUAAGCUGCCCUCCUCUUCCACCACCACCUACUACCGGCGCCCCCACCGCCGGAUCAUUGGAACUAGCUCCAUCGCUGUCUCUGCCCGUGCCUCCUCUGCGGCGGCCGCUGCUCCGGGCCUCGACGCCGACGACAUCCGACACCCCCUCGACAAGCAGAACACUUUGCUGCUCAAAGCAAUUCCCGGGCUCAAUGAUAUAGGCAAGGCUUUGCUAGGUCCGGUUUCUGAGCAAGUUAUGGUUCUUCAGAACAUUGGAUCCUCUGUUCUCGUCUCUGAGAAUCAGUUGCCAGAACUCCACCAGCUCAUGAUUGAAGCUGCAAAAACCUUGAACAUAGAAUCUCCGGAUCUAUACGUACGGCAAAAUCCCGUUCCUAAUGCUUACACCUUAGCAAUCAACGGAAAAAAGCCAUUUGUCGUGGUUCACACAAGCCUCGUGGAACUACUCACUAGAAAGGAACUACAGGCUGUUUUGGCACAUGAGCUUGGUCACCUCAAGUGCGACCAUGGCGUGUGGCUUACCUUUGCCAACAUACUAACAACAGGAGCAUACACUGUCCCUGGUUUUGGGAUGGUUGCCGGGUUCCUGGAAGAACAGCUGUUCAGGUGGCUGCGAGCUGCGGAGCUGACAUGCGAUAGGGCAGCCCUUCUCGUAGUGAAAGACCCCAAGGGCCUGUUGUUUACUGUCAAGAGGUUGUCAUGUCGGUCCUCAUGAAGCUGGCGGGAGGGUGCCCGUCCCUGGCGGACCAGCUGAAUGUGGACGCCUUUCUGGAGCAGGCCCGCUCGUAUGACAAGGCCUCGUCGAACCCGGUUGGGUGGUACAUCCGCAACGCUCAGACGAGAGAGCUGUCACACCCGUUGCCUGUGAUGCGAGCGCGAGAGGUGGACGAGUGGUCGAGGAGCCAAGAAUACAGGACGUUGUCGCGGAAAAUGUUUCAAUAAUCUGUCUGUGUGCAUAUGAAACGAGAGAGAAGCUAGGUGUGGAGUGAGUGCACUAGUGGUGGACUGGUGGUGAAAAACAAAGGAAUUCAAUAGCCAGUCUAUGAAAUGAGAGAGGCUAGCUGUGGACUAGUGCACUAGUGAUGGUGCUGAAAAUUAAGUAACUAGUAGAGUUGAAUAGAUUGCAUAUUUAUGCAACUGAAAUUAUAUUGGUUGUAAAUGAUUAAACUGAAAAAUCAAAUACUGAUCUGUGUUGUGCUUC